RNAcentral lists this ribosomal RNA (550 nucleotides) under Elephas maximus (Asiatic elephant). RNAcentral's name for it is "partial large subunit ribosomal RNA". It matches the Rfam family "Bacterial large subunit ribosomal RNA", at positions 1817 to 2597 of the family's 2925-position model. The record is from RNAcentral. Lineage: Eukaryota; Metazoa; Chordata; Mammalia; Proboscidea; Elephantidae.
CACCUCGAGCAUUACUAGUAUUCGAGGCACUGCCUGCCCAGUGACCAAGCGUUAAACGGCCGCGGUACUCUGACCGUGCAAAGGUAGCAUAAUCAUUUGUUCCUUAAUUAGGGACUUGUAUGAACGGCCACACGAGGGUUUAACUGUCUCUUUCCUCUAAUCAAUGAAAUUGACCUUCUCGUGAAGAGGCGAGAAUAAACAUAUAAGACGAGAAGACCCUAUGGAGCUUAAAUUAACUAAUUUAAUUGCUACCCUAUAAAUCUAUAAGAUACAACUAAGUAGCAUAAUAAAUUAACAAUUUUGGUUGGGGUGACCUCGGAGAAGAAAAAAACCUCCGAACGAUAUUCUAAUUCAGACUCUACAAGUCAAAAUUUACUAAUCAUUUAUUGACCCAAUACUUGAUCAACGGAACAAGUUACCCUAGGGAUAACAGCGCAAUCCUACUCUAGAGUCCCUAUCGACAGCAGGGUUUACAACCUCGAUGUUGGAUCAGGACAUCCUAAUGGUGCAGCCGCUAUUAAGGGUUCGUUUGUUCAACGAUUAAAGUCCU